Molecule: long non-coding RNA, 1053 nt
Organism: Hemibagrus wyckioides
Lineage: Eukaryota; Metazoa; Chordata; Actinopteri; Siluriformes; Bagridae
Exons: 3
Source: RefSeq, a predicted model, not a curated record
CUAAUCUCUAAAUAUACCUAUUACAGCAUCUGUUUACAGGGUACCAUUUUUUGAAAGAGGACAACAUACCAUAACAUUACACGCCAUAUAACAUUAUAAUGUGUAAUAAACAACAUAACUAUUGACAAUGAAUAUAAACAUGAUAAUUACUUUCAAACAUGAGAUUAAAUGUACCUGUUUCAUUCUGAACACAGCUACUUCCCCAAUUAUAAAAGACUGUUCACACUUUUUUUUUUCUUUCAUAUUUUCCCUAAAAUAUUCAGUUGGUUUUUUUUUAGUUCAAAUUUAUACAUUAUAUUUUCGCAUUGUGGAUGGAAAAAGUCCUGAUAUGGUUUAUCUUUGUGUACGCACUGGUGUACAAACUUCCAUAGUAUCUACUCUAUAGUAGUAUAGUAGUCAUCACGUUUCCACGGAUACUGAUGUUAUGCAAAUUUUACUAUAUUGUAUAUACUCAUACUCCCCCACCCCACCCCCCCCCACCCCCAGUCUCACCAUCUCAGUCAAGCUCAUCAGGGAUCACAGCGAGUUCCAGCUCCAGUUCUGGUCCGGGUUUAGUAAGCAAAGUGCAUGUGAAAAUGUUCUGUGGAAAAAAACAAUUUGCAAUUUACAGGAAAAAUGGAGAAUUCCAUAAUUCAUUCAGAGACGAUGUUAGAAAUGCAAUGAAGGAAAUACCAGAAUAUCAUGUUUUGGACUACAACUGUAUCCAUUUUGCCAUGGGACUACUAAAGGUUGACUUACAGACUACAGAGAACUUCAUUAAAAAACUUUUAAAAAUUAUUAGUUACGGAAGCACAAACCAGGAGAUGCAACCCUUUGCGAUAUAAAGUGUGCUGGAAAAAACACAUUGUGAUUCUUUUUGAAGAAAGUAGAAAUAUGGUGUCAAAUUUUGGUCUUGCUCUUUUGUAUUGGAAUGUCAUGAAAUGAAAGUUUGAUGUCAUGGAAUAUUAUGAUUAAUUUGGGGUUUAAUUACUUGCCUACUAGAUUACUUAUCAUUUAUAUACCAACCCCAUUUCCAGAAAAGUUGAAACACUUUCUAAAAACGCAAUAAAAACU